UACGAAGGGGGCUAGCGUUGCUCGGAUUGACUGGGCGUAAAGGGCGCGUAGGCGGUUCGUACAGUCAGACGUGAAAUUCCUGGGCUCAACCUGGGGGCUGCGUUUGAUACGUGCGGACUUGAGUGCGGAAGAGGGUCGUGGAAUUCCCAGUGUAGAGGUGAAAUUCGUAGAUAUUGGGAAGAACACCGGUGGCGAAGGCGGCGACCUGGUCCGAUACUGACGCCGAGGCGCGAGAGCGUGGGGAGCGAACCGG
Molecule: ribosomal RNA, 253 nt
Filed under: uncultured bacterium
Lineage: Bacteria
Description: partial 16S ribosomal RNA
Rfam family: Bacterial small subunit ribosomal RNA
Source: RNAcentral